Molecule: ribosomal RNA, 220 nt
Filed under: uncultured bacterium
Lineage: Bacteria
Description: partial 16S ribosomal RNA
Rfam family: Bacterial small subunit ribosomal RNA
Source: RNAcentral
GGAGGGUAAGCGGAAGAAAUUCCGUCUAAUACCGCGUAACAACCCAUGGAGGCAUCUCUGUGGGUUUAAAGGAAGCGAUUCCGGCUACGGAUGGUCAUGCGUCGCAUUAGCUUGUUGGCGGGGUAACGGCCCACCAAGGCGACGAUGCGUAGGGGUUCUGAGAGGAAGGUCCCCCACACUGGUACUGAGACACGGACCAGACUCCUACGGGAGGCAGCAG